GUGUUGGCUGUGGCGUGACUGUCCCUCUGUGUCCCCCACUAGGCCCACUGCUCAGUGGAGCGUGGAGGACGAGGAGGAGGCCGUCCACGAGCAAUGCCAGCAU
MicroRNA precursor from Gorilla gorilla gorilla (western lowland gorilla), 103 nucleotides. The record is from Ensembl. NCBI's taxonomy places the organism in Eukaryota, Metazoa, Chordata, Mammalia, Primates, Hominidae.